UCUUAGCAACCGAUUUGGUCCUAGUCCUCUUCUUGGUUUUAUCUAGACCGAUACAUGCAAGCUAAUUAACAACACAGUGAGUAAAACUAAAAUUAUACUUUAAAGAAAUAAUUUUUAUAAGAGGUAUCAGAAAAUUAAUCAAAAAUUCUAAGACACCUAGCCCCCCACAUCUGCAGUACCUAACAUUAUACAAUAAGCAAAAGCUUGAUAUAGUCAUAGACUAAAGAGUUGGUUAAUUAUGUGCCAGCCGCCGCGGUUAUACAUAAGACUCAAACUAAGAAACCCUAUCGGUUUAAAAGUGAUUAAGGCUAAACUACUUUAAGGUGAAAGACAACUCCAGUACUAACAAGCUUUUACAGUAAACUAACAAUUAAGCAAAACUUACCUUAACACCCCUACCCUGAAACACCAAAGCUCAAAGAUAAACUGGGAUUAGAUACCCCACUAUAUGAGCCUAAAAAACCAAAAAUACCAGAGA
Molecule: ribosomal RNA, 478 nt
Filed under: Astropecten polyacanthus
Lineage: Eukaryota; Metazoa; Echinodermata; Asteroidea; Paxillosida; Astropectinidae
Description: partial 12S ribosomal RNA
Source: RNAcentral